UUUAUAUUACUUAUUUAAUAAUUAUAUUUUUAUAUUUUUAAUUUAAAUAAAUUAAUUUAUUU
This 62-nucleotide transfer RNA is filed under the name Bactrothrips quadrituberculatus. RNAcentral's name for it is "tRNA-Cys". Lineage: Eukaryota; Metazoa; Arthropoda; Insecta; Thysanoptera; Phlaeothripidae. The record is from RNAcentral.